RNAcentral lists this ribosomal RNA (483 nucleotides) under uncultured bacterium. RNAcentral's name for it is "partial 16S ribosomal RNA". It matches the Rfam family "Bacterial small subunit ribosomal RNA", at positions 28 to 507 of the family's 1533-position model. The record is from RNAcentral.
GACGAACGCUGGCGGCGUGCUUAACACAUGCAAGUCGAACGCUGAAGCUCAGCUUUUGUUGGGUGGAUGAGUGGCGAACGGGUGAGUAACACGUGAGUAACCUGCCCCCUUCUUUGGGAUAACGCCCGGAAACGGGUGCUAAUACCGGAUAUUCACUGGUCCUCGCAUGGGGGUUGGUGGAAAGGGUUUUUCUGGUGGGUGAUGGGCUCGCGGCCUAUCAGCUUGUUGGUGGGGUGAUGGCCUACCAAGGCUUUGACGGGUAGCCGGCCUGAGAGGGUGACCGGUCACGGUGGGACGGAGAUACGGCCCAGGCUCCUACGGGAGGCAGCAGUGGGGAAUAUUGCACAAUGGGCGCAAGCCUGAUGCAGCGACGCCGCGGGAGGGAUGGAGGCCGUCGGGUUGUGAACCUCUUUCGCUCAUGGUCAAGCCGCAACAAUGGUUGUGGUGAGGGUAGUGGGUAAAGAAGCGCCGGCUAACUACGUG